RNAcentral lists this long non-coding RNA (982 nucleotides) under Manihot esculenta (cassava). RNAcentral describes it as "long non-coding RNA (MESC_LNC008420)". The record is from RNAcentral. Lineage: Eukaryota; Viridiplantae; Streptophyta; Magnoliopsida; Malpighiales; Euphorbiaceae.
AUAAAGGAUCCUGCUGGGUUAAUUGGUCGAUGAUCCCGUGAUUACAGGUGUAACAAUGGUAACGAGGGCAUGCUGAAUUGUGCCCGCUAACGGUAACUGUAUGUCGAGAUUCGUCCUAUUCAGGGGAGGGCGAGUCUUGGUGAUAAAUCGGAUGUUGAGGUGUCUGGGUCUUACUUUACUCUAGUGGUACCGCGUUUUCCACUUAUCAGAUCAUUGUCACGUGACCCUAUAUUGUAGUGACAGCUCAUGGCUCACUUUGGCUAUCUCAAAGUAUGAAAUAGCUUGUGUGGAAAAUGAAAAGGAGUUAAGAUGGAAAAAAUUUUUUGAGGGGCCAACUAUCUACAUUACCUUGACAUAAUGUGAUUUCAGCAUAUGGUGUUGUCAGUAUGAGGCAUUUGUGCAUAUCAGGAUUACAUAAUUUAUAUUUUUGUGUAAUUAUGAAAAUUUGGUUACUUUGUCUUUUUAGUUCCUCUGCUGGAUAAAUUUAUACUCUUUUGAACAUGCAUCACUGCUUAAUGUGGUCAUUCGGUGGGAAAGGAAUUAUAAAGGAUCUGAAGGAGUGGAUAUGUCUGUCGGAAAUCUGAAAUCCAAUAUUAUUACUUAUUUGCUUGAAUGGUUGCAUUCUCCAUAUUUAUUUGAACCCCCUGGUCUUUAAGACCAUCAGGGCCUUGAUACUUCAUACCUUCAACUAGCUAAUUCCUUACUAUGUGCUUUUUAUCACUUGUAUUUCAACAUACUUAGCACUCCAUGGUAACUGUGUUUCAUUUUCAGUAUCCCAUUCAGUAAAAAUCAUGGCCUUGAUACGUCAUACCUUAAACUAGCUAAUUCCUUAUUAUGUGCUUUUUAUCACUUGUCGUCCAUUGUCAGAUAGUAUUUCAACAUGCUUAGCAUUCCAUGGUAAUUGUGUUUCAAUUUCAGUAUCCCAUUCAGUAAAAAUCAUUGGGUUUCAGUUGGGAUUAAGCUACUGCUGAUAGUAACAAGA